UUGUCUGUUCCACAGUUCUAAUCUAUUUUUUCUUACUCUAGAAAGUGUAUUUUACUUUUGUCUAUCUCCUUUUCAGCUUCUGUAUGGUAAGGAUUUAUAGAAGAGGCUGUAAAAUUUGCUGUCCCUAACUAUACCCCAUAAAAAGUGUGUAUCAAGUACAGUUUAGUCUAUUCAUCUCUAACUAUGAACAUGCCACAAUUAUUUUCAACUGCCAUUCUACAGAAGCUCACGUGCUGGGAAAUCAUAAGCCUGAUGGUAGAACAUGCACAUUUUCUAAGAUUAAGGCAAAGCUCUGGAUUGUGUCUAAUUCAUCAUUCUACCAUCUGUUUAACAUGGAUUUAUCACUAGUUACUGGCUUGGAGGAAAGUGGAUCCUGAAGGUUUUGGUUGAUGACCAUCAUCAAGGUGAACAGUUAUCUCCCACUGAGCUAAAGCACUAUAAUGAAGAUGCAGCUUGAGAAUAAUUCAGGACAUUACAUAGGCUGGUCUCUUUUCCUCAAAUACAUUGAGGAACGUGAGUAUAGAAAAGAGGGAGCAGACAUCUGGAUUACGGUGAUGUAACCACUUCUUCACAGAUGGAGGAUGAUAUAAUUAUUCCAGGAAUUUCUAUAUGUAUUGAUCAGCCAUUAAAAUAAAAAUCUACCCACCAUUUGCUUCA
RNAcentral lists this long non-coding RNA (657 nucleotides) under Vulpes vulpes (red fox). Its description in RNAcentral is "lncRNA (ENSVVUG00000014194.1)". Lineage: Eukaryota; Metazoa; Chordata; Mammalia; Carnivora; Canidae. The record is from RNAcentral.